UUUCUUUUCUUUUACAUUCACCUUUACACAAAAUAAAUUCAAAACAAAUAAAUACAAAUUACAUUAAUUAAUUUAAAUUUUACAAAACAGUCCCUAAAAGUCCAGAAAUUGCAUUGAAGGACACUGUCGGAACUGCCUGAACUCGUGGCGGCGCGUGAACCCACGCGCCGCCGCAAACAUGCCGGAAACGGGCGGAUCUGCCCUAUUUCCUCCUCCUCCUCCCUUCUCUGCUGGUGGCAUCCUGCAAAACAAGAAAAAGGAAACGCAGGCAGUUCAUUUUAAUCCAUUUCUGUCCAGUUCUUGGAUUUUUCCUUUCUUCUCCAUUUUGGAUCUGCUUCUUUACAGAUCGGUUAUUUUCGUUUCCCCUUGUUCUCUGUUUUAGGCUGCCGGCCGAGUGACCAUAGGGCUGCUGGCGGCGUUCAUGGUGGCUCGCGGGGGGAAUUGCUGCGAUGGAAGAGGAAAUCGUGUGUCUGCCACCGGUUGAAGGAGAUGAUGCCAGCGUUGCCCCGGCGCUGAAUCUGUUCGGCCGUCGCUGCUGUGGAGGGAAACCGAAGGAGAAGCAGCCGUGGCUGAGGAGAUCGUGACCUGGAAGGCGCCGGAGCUGGAAGCUAUGGGAAAGAAGAGAAAAAUAAAUCAAACCCGCGGGGAAGAAGAGUUGUGGCUGGUUCUCCGUGGGGAAAGGAGAGUGGUGUUGUUGGUGGGUCUGUGUUGAUGACCGGGCUGUGGAGAAGGAAGGAAAAUGGAGAUGACGGUGGGGAAAUGGUCUGUCUUUGUUUCUGACAGAGGGGAAGUGAGCAGCGUCUUCUCUGGUUUUUGAAAGGUAGGGGAGGCCGUGACUUUUUUUCUUUUUUGCAGAGGGGAAGUCGGCUGGAAGGAGAAAGGGGAGAGUAUGGGUUUCAGCUGAUUUUGGCUUUUUAGCCGAGAGGAAGACUAAGGAGACGGGAAGAGGGCUGCCUUGGCUUCUCUGGUUUCGACUUUGAAGAUGAGAGAAAAUGUGGAAAUGGUGAUGGCUUGACUUGCUUUGUCAAGGCAAAAGGGGGAUUCGUCGUAGCCUUUUUUUUUAGGAGAAGUGAGAGCGGCUCUGUGUGCAGGCGGCUGUGCAAGGGCUGAGGAGAAAAAAAAUUAAAAGGGGAGCUGGCAGCUGUCAUCGGAGAAGAAGGAAAAAAUUUCCCAAAAAGGGGGGGGCCUCCCUGGCGGCUGUUUUCAGCAGGGAAGAAGAAAAGUUUAGUGUUUUAGGGUUCUCUCCUUUCCCCUAAAAUUACAAAAUGAACCCCCCCCACAAAAUGAGUUAAAAACUGCUAUUUAUAGGCAAAACAUUUUUUCGGGUUUCCAAAUCGGUCCCCAAUUUUUUUGUGUUCAAUUGACUUGGUAAAAAUUAAAUUUGAUCUUAAAAUUUUAAUCUUUUCAAUUCAGUCCAAAUUAAGCUCCCAAACUUAAUUUUUCACCAAUUAAGCCCCCAAAUUAAUUUGACCCAUUUAAAGUAUAAUCAAGUCCUUGCACUUAAUUAAAUCCUUCAAUUAGACCUAAAUUAAUUCUUAAACAUAAUUAAAAUUUAAUUUGGCCCAUGAUUAAAUCAAAUUGGCCCAUUAAAAAUUUAAUUAUGUCAUUGGACUUAAUUUUUAUGCAAAUUCAUCCAAUAAUCAUUUGAUUUGACCUUCGAAUAUGCAUUUAAUUUGACCUUCGAUUUUUGCCUAUUUUUGCAGUCUUUUUUUAUUGGAUUUCUCCGCAGUGCCAGCCUUUAUUUUAUUUUUUAUUUUUUUUAUUUUAAAAAAAGUGAAAUUUAGGGAAUAACCCAAAAUUGGGUUAUGACAGUUGCCCCCCUCUUUACAAUGCUUAUGAUAGAAAGUCUCGUAGGGGACUUUAGAUAGUAAGCGUUGUAAAGAAGAAAAAAUGAAGAUGUUUUUUUUUUUUUUUUUUUUAAAUUCAAAGAUUUUGAAAUGGUCGAAUUGUCAUGGGUGACCCACCCGGGUGAAAAACACGAAGAUGUUUUAAAGUGGUGAGAAAUACGAAGAUUUCUAAAAAUGGUUUUAUUGUUAUGGGCAACCGGCCCAGAUGAAAGGUUUUGAAAAAUACGAAGAUUUUUUCAAAUAGGUGAAAAAUGCAGAGAUUUUUCAAAGUGGUGAGAAAUGCAAAGAUUUCUCAAGAUGGUGAAAAAUUUUAGAGGUGGUGAGAAAUGCAAAGAUUUCUCAAAAUGAUGAAAAAUGCAAAGAUUUUUCAAAGUGGUUUUGUUGUAAUGGGCAAACGGCCCAAUUGAAAGGUUUUGAAAAAUACAAAGAUUUUUUCAAAGAGGCGAAAAAUGCAGAGAUUUUUCAAAGUGGUGAGAAAUACGAAGAUUUCUAAAAAUGGUUUUAUUGUUAUGGGCAACCGGCCCAGAUGAAAGGUUUUGAAAAAUACAAAGAUUUUUUCAAAUAGGUGAAAAAUGCAGAGAUUUUUCAAAGUGGUGAGAAAUGCAAAGAUUUCUCAAGAUGGUGAAAAAUUUUAGAGGUGGUGAGAAAUGCAAAGAUUUCUCAAAGUGGUGAAAAAUUCCAAGAUUUUUCAAAGUGGUGAGACAUACAAAGAUUUCUCAAAGUGGUGAAAAAUGCAGAGAUUUUUCAAAGGGGUGAAAAAUACAGAGAUUUUUCAAAGUGGUGAGAAAUGCAAAGAUUUCUCAAAGUGGUGAGAAAUGCAAAGAUUUCUCAAAGUGGUCUUGUUGUGAUGGGCAACCGGCCCAAGUGAAAAAGUUUGAGAGUGGGGAGAAAUGCAAGGAUUUCUCAAAAUUGGUGAAAAAUGUAAAGAUUUUUCAAGGUGAUGAAAAAUGCAGAGAUUUUUCAAAGUGGUUUUAUUGUUAUGGGCAACCGGCCCAAAUGGAAGAUGAAAAGAGUUUUGAAAGAAGUCUGAUUAUAAUGGGUGACCUGCCCGGGCAAAAAGAUAAAAUGUCUGAAAAGGACGACAUGAUAGGACUCGAUGGGGGAACGAGGGCUGAAGAGCGCACUCGAAAGGAGGUAGGGUUAGAAAAACACACUACCUAAGAGGUGAAUGCUCCAAGGCGCACUCUAAAGGAGGUAAAUAGGGCUAGAAAGCACACUACACAAGAGGUGAGGGCUCGAAGGAGCUCUCAAAAAGAGAGCAGGGUUGGAAAACACACUACCUAAGAGGUGAGGGCUCGAAGGAGCAUUCGAAAGGAGGUAAGGUUGGAAAACGCACUACCUAAAGUGGUGAGGGCUCAAAGGAGCAAUCAGAAGGAGGUAGGGUUAGAAAAAUACACUGCCUAAGAUGUGAGGGCUCGAAGGAGCAUUCAAAAGGAGGUAAGGUUGGAAAACGCACUACCUAAAAUAGUCGAAGGCUCAAAGGUGUACUAAAAAAGGAGGCAGGGUUGGAAAACACACUACCUAAAGGUGAUCGAGGGCUCAAAGGUGCACUCGAAAAGAGGUAAGGAGGUAAGGUUGGAAAACGCACUACCUAAGGUGGUUAAUGGCCCUAAGGCGCACUUAAAAGGAGAUAGGGUUGGAAAACACACUACCUAAAGUAGUUGAUGGCCCUAAAGCGCACUUAAAGAGAGGUAGGGUUAGAAAACAUGCACUACCUAAGAUGGGAGGGCUCGAAGGAGCUCUCAAAAGGAAGUAGGGUUAGAAAACACACUACCUAAAGGGGUUAGGGCUCGAAGGCACACUAAAAAAGAGGUAGGGUUAGAAAACACACUACCUAAAGUGGUCGAUGGCCCUAAGGCGCAUUUAAAAGGGAGAGGUAAGGUUAGAAAACACACUACCUAAAGGGGUUGUUAGCUUGAAGGCGCGCUAAAAAAGAGGCAGGGUUGGAAAACGCACUACCUAAGAUUAUUGGGGGCUCUAAAGCGCAUUUAAAAAGGAGAUAGGGUUAAAAACGCACUACCUAAGCGUUGAAGGCUCUAAGGCGCACUCAAAAGGGGAGGUAGGGUCAGAAAACACACUACCUAAGAUGGUUGGGGGCUCUAAAGCGCACUAAAAAAGGAGGUAUGGUUAGAAAACACAUUACCUAAGGGGUGAGGGCUAAAAGACGCCCUCAAAAGGAGGUAGGGUUGAAAAACACACUACCUAAAAGGUUAGGGCUCAAAGGCACACUAAAAAAGAGGUAGGGUUAGAAAACACACUACCUAAGGGGUGAGGGCUAAAAGACGCCCUCAGAAGGAGGUAGGGUUGGAAAACACACUACCUAAAAGGUUAGGGCUUCAGCAACUCGCUCAAAAAGAGGUGAUGGUGAGACACCGAUCUAUCAAGGAUGAAAGAAAUGCAUCAUGAUCAAUAUAUGCAUGUAUACUUACCUGAGAAGUAUAGGUCCCCUUUUCUUCAUCGAGUUCUCCUUUUCUCAAGAGUUUGAGUCUCUGAUAGUAAGCUUUGAUGGCUUUUGUCCCCUUGCUUACUCGAGAAAUAUCUUACAAUCUUGGCCUCUAGGAAAGUUGAUGUCAUCACUUCUUUGUUCUCCGCCCCUUUUAUCCCAAGGGUUGCCAAUUUUGCCCAAUAGUUUCUUCGAAAGGGAAUCAUGGAGCCAGCUCUACCAAAUGUUUUUGAUUGCCCCCUAGCUUGAUCAUGCCCCCAAGUAUUCAAUUCGGGUUUGGGGAUGAGGCUAUAUGAAGGAAGGUUUGGUUUUUGACAAGGAGCUGUUUUCAUGCAGAAUUUUUGGAAUUUCAAAGCUAUUCCAGACACAGAAAUCAUUUUGACAUCGAUUCAAAGCGAACUCAUUCUGAAGAAAUUCAAGUGAUUCCUAUGGAGAGGUUUUCAGAAGUGAUGAAAACUUUUUGUUUUGAUUUUGGUGAAAAAAUAUGAAGUGACAUUUGGUUGGUCACAAAAAGUUGAAAUUUCAAUGAAGUGACAUCUGGUUGGUCACAAAAGGUUUAAAUUUCAAUGAAGUGACAUCUGGUUGGUCACAAAAGGUUUAAAUUUCAAUGAAGUGACAUCUGAUUGGUCACAAAAGGUUUAAAUUUCAAUGAAGUGACAUCUGGUUGGUCACAAAAGGUUUGAAUUUCAAUGAAGUGACAUCUGGUUGGUCACAAAAGGUUUGAGUUUCAAUUUGAGGGUUAUUGAGAACCGUUUUCAAAGCAGUCAUUUUAUUUGCAUGAAUAAUGAUUUUAUUUCGCAUGAGAAAGCACUGCCUACCGAUCCAGAUUGCCUGCCUUUGAUCAGAAAGGGCUUCAUUAGGCACGUAAUGUAGGCUUGGGCUUUUGGCUAUGAAGAAAAUGAUAUAUAUAGGCUCAAAAGGUGUUUAAGGGACUUUAAGACUAAGGAUCACAAGUGCUUAUAUCCCAAACUCUUUUGUUCAUACAUUUCUGGACCUUGGAAUUGAUUUGUAAAAAUGUCCACGGUGCCCCCAGUGUUGGGCUUGGGCUCUUUCUCUUUGUUUUCUUCAUUUGAUUUUGAGCAUCAUUGCAUUGGCCUUUGUUUUUUGCUCAAAUUUUUGAUCCUUUGGAUUUUUUCAUGCCACCUAGCUUUGUAUGGGCACCUUUGAUGAUUGAGAUUUCUUUUAUGCCCCCUAUUGUUUGGGCACUUCAUCGUUGAAGACUUUUUCAUGCCCCCAAGAGUUAUUUGGGCACUUUCAAUCAUUAUGGAUUUUUAGCACUUGCCCCCCAGUGUAGGGUGUGAUCCUAGCCAAGGUUAUUUUUCAAGAAAAAUUUAUUAGGCUCAAAAGGGACUGCAAAUGAUAUAUUUCAGCCUUUGAAAGGAUUAUCAAAGAUGACCUUUCUCAUCUCAAAUGCAUGCAUUUAGGAUCGGUAAGCCUUGCUUUCAUGCGAUAUGCAAGUGAUUUCUCAUUAUUCAUGCAAUAAAACCCAGCUUUUGGAGUCACUUCAUGGUGUUUUUUUGGGUUUUCUAGGUGUAUGGUUACCUCUCUAAGGAAUCACCUGAAUUUCCAGAAUCGUUGUUUCGACAAACAUCAACAUGAUUUCUGUUUUGUACUAAACUUUGAAUUCCCAAAAAUCCUUAUGAAAACAUGGGUCCUGUUUUGUUUUGGGAAGAAAAGGGAAACACACCACAAGAUUUGGCGCGUGGUUUCAUGCUUAAAGUUACGCUCAAUGUGUUAUUUGCAUGAAACAACAAAAAAUGAAAGCAUGUGAAAACACAGAAAACACAUAUAUAACAAGAAAGGCUCAGGACAGGAAAGUCUUGUGGAAUUUUGAGCCAAAUUACCAACAAAAACUGGAUAGGUUGAAACAAAAAAAUCAAGUUUUGGAGGCAUGAUCAAACAGAGGUAGUUAUUGGCAGAGCAAGAACAGCUCUUCUGCAACGGUGAUGCAAUUCCCCUUCAGAAUUGUGUUGAGGCUUUUGAUCAUGUGGCCCCUAAUUUCUUCGGGUUGAGUUGGGGCUGAACAAAAAUACUGGCAUUGGAAGACCUUCACUAGAGCAUCUAUGUCUCGAGUAAGCUAAGUGAGGAGCCACACUGCUUUCAGAGACCUAACUCUUGAAAUGGAUGCUGCGGUGAGCACGCUCUUUGUCUCCAAUGUUUUUUCUCUCAAAAUCAGGUUGUAGACUCGGAGGGACCUACUUAUUCUGGUGCAUGCAUGACAAAAUGUAUGAACAUGAAGUCUAUAUGAUGAACUCGCCCUUCGAGGUACAACAUGGUCGUAACUCUUGUAUGAUGGAACAAGAAUUGAUUUUUGCCCAAACUCUACAAUGAAAAUUUUCCGAGUGACGACCAAUGUGUCACCCACAAAUCUUGAGUUCAAGAUGCUUCAAGAAGGGUUCGCCCCGAUGCAAAUAAAUGAUAGCACAUACAACCUAAGAACAAGUUCUAUUCAUUGUGUGAACAUGGGUAGGUUUUCUACCUGGUCUCAAAAGGGUCUAUGAAUUGCCCAGUGACGACCUCACGUGAAGGCAGUAUAGGGGUUUACAAGGAAUGGUUGGGGCACCAUGUGACCGCCAUUACCAAAAUAAACACUCAGCUCAUAGUUGGAUGUUUCACAAAUCUGAACCCCGACUGAAAGUCAUGAGGUAGACUGCUACUCCCCACCUAACUUAGAAGCUUGUGUGUGCUUUCAAAAAUAAAUACAAGUGAUGCGUGAAACAAUUCUAAAAAUGCAUGCAUAAAAUAAAGCAAGACAAAAAUAGCAAAAUUUAAACACAUCAAAUACACAAAGCUUAGUCCAAUAUUGUCAGAAACAGUACCUCCCCAGUGGAGUCGCCAUUCUGUUGCACGUCGAAAAAUCCGGCGCGCGGCAAUCGGCUGGCGAUUAUAUGUCUCGUUGUUUGUAUUGCUUGAAUUGGUUCGUUGGGAGUCGCCACCUAGUAUUUAAUUGAGGUUACUAGGAAACCCUGGUGGACUGGUCAUGGUCAGAGAUUUGCGGGUAAGGGACUGAUUGUGGUUAGGGAAGGUGUUAGCACCCCUAACGCACCCUACCUGAGGUAAGCUGCUUCGUGGACUUGAUAUGUUAAAAAAGUUUUAAAAUUUUUGUCUUUUCAUCGGAUUUUAGAAAUACAACUUCCGUACAAGUUUGUACUUCUACACCGUGAUCCAAUCAAAAUAUUAAAUCCUUCUUUAUUCUUUGUUGUCUCAUCAAAAAAACAAUUCAUUAAACAAAUGUAUACAUGCAUCUUUUAUUAUAUAUUUCUUUCUUUUUCUUUUUCUUUUCUUUUAAUUCAAUAACAUACAUAAAAAAAUACAAACACACACAUACAUCUCUUUUUUAUUAUUUUUCUUUUCUUUUCUUUUACAUUCACCUUUACACAAAAUAAAUUCAAAACAAAUAAAUACAAAUUACAUUAAUUAAUUUAAAUUUUACAAAACAGUCCCUAAAAGUCCAGAAAUUGCAUUGAAGGACACUGUCGGAACUGCCUGAACUCGUGGCGGCGCGUGAACCCACGCGCCGCCGCAAACAUGCCGGAAACGGGCGGAUCUGCCCUGUUUCCUCCUCCUCCUCCCUUCUCUGCUGGUGGCAUCCUGCAAAACAAGAAAAAGGAAACGCAGGCAGUUCAUUUUAAUCCAUUUCUGUCCAGUUCUUGGAUUUUUCCUUUCUUCUCCAUUUUGGAUCUGCUUCUUUACAGAUCGGUUUUUUCGUUUCCCCUUGUUCUCUGUUUUAGGCUGCCGGCCGAGUGACCAUAGGGCUGCUGGCGGCGUUCAUGGUGGCUCGCGGGGGGAAUUGCUGCGAUGGAAGAGGAAAUCGUGUGCCACCGGUUGAAGGAGAUGAUGCCAGCGUUGCCCCGGCGCUGAAUCUGUUCGGCCGUCGCUGCUGUGGAGGGAAACCGAAGGAGAAGCAGCCGUGGCUGAGGAGAUCGUGACCUGGAAGGCGCCGGAGCUGGAAGCUAUGGGAAAGAAGAGAAAAAUAAAUCAAACCCGCGGGGAAGAAGAGUUGUGGCUGGUUCUCCGUGGGGAAAGGAGAGUGGUGUUGUUGGUGGGUCUGUGUUGAUGACCGGGCUGUGGAGAAGGAAGGAAAAUGGAGAUGACGGUGGGGAAAUGGUCUGUCUUUGUUUCUGACAGAGGGGAAGUGAGCAGCGUCUUCUCUGGUUUUUGAAAGGUAGGGGAGGCCGUGACUUUUUUCUUUUUUGCAGAGGGGAAGUCGGCUGGAAGGAGAAAGGGGAGAGUAUGGGUUUCAGCUGAUUUUGGCUUUUUAGCCGAGAGGAAGACUAAGGAGACGGGAAGAGGGCUGCCUUGGCUUCUCUGGUUUCGACUUUGAAGAUGAGAGAAAAUGUGGAAAUGGUGAUGGCUUGACUUGCUUUGUCAAGGCAAAAGGGGGAUUCGUCGUAGCCUUUUUUUUUUUAGGAGAAGUGAGAGCGGCUCUGUGUGCAGGCGGCUGUGCAAGGGCUGAGGAGAAAAAAAAUUAAAAGGGGAGCUGGCAGCUGUCAUCGGAGAAGAAGGAAAAAAUUUCCCAAAAAGGGGGGGGCCUCCCUGGCGGCUGUUUUCAGCAGGGAAGAAGAAAAGUUUAGUGUUUUAGGGUUCUCUCCUUUCCCCUAAAAUUACAA
Molecule: long non-coding RNA, 8900 nt
Filed under: Populus tremula
Lineage: Eukaryota; Viridiplantae; Streptophyta; Magnoliopsida; Malpighiales; Salicaceae
Description: long non-coding RNA (PTRE_LNC003029)
Source: RNAcentral